CUGUCUUCAUCUUAUGAGAAGAAAGAACUAGAAUUGAGAUCCUCUCAAGUUUCAUCUUCAAACAGUCAACAUUAACUGAACUAGAUGGAGUUGAGGCUCUUUCUGAUUUGUACAGGAAGCUACUCAAUGGAAUGCGUCUGCCUGGGUCUUCUGGAAUGAGAGCCUUUGGUUCUAGCAUGAUGAAAGAAUUUGUGGUUUAUCACAACUCUAGAUUAGUUUUCCAAAGAUAAAGAUGACCCAUCUUCACAGUUAAUUGGUAGCGUUAACAUCAAGACCUCGACUCUCACUUUAGAAAAAGAAAAGCAAGUAUCAA
This is a long non-coding RNA of Nothoprocta perdicaria, 313 nucleotides long. RefSeq lists it as uncharacterized. The record is from RefSeq and is a predicted model, not a curated record. The transcript has 2 exons. Lineage: Eukaryota; Metazoa; Chordata; Aves; Tinamiformes; Tinamidae.